CCUACGGGUGGCAGCAGUGAGGAAUAUUGGUCAAUGGACGAGAGUCUGAACCAGCCAAGUAGCGUGAAGGAUGACUGCCCUAUGGGUUGUAAACUUCUUUUAUAUGGGAAUAAAAUGUUCCACGUGUGGGAUUUUGUAUGUACCAUCUGAAUAAGGAUCGGCUAACUCCGUGCCAGCAGCCGCGGUAAUACGGAGGAUCCGAUCGUUAUCCGGAUUUAUUGGGUUUAAAGGGAGCGUAGGUGGAUUGUUAAGUCAGUUGUGAAAGUUUGCGGCUCAACCGUAAAAUUGCAGUUGAAACUGGCAGUCUUGAGUACAGUAGAGGUGGGCGGAAUUCGUGGUGUAGCGGUGAAAUGCUUAGAUAUCACGAAGAACUCCGAUUGCGAAGGCAGUUCACUGGACUGCAACUGACACUGAGGCUCGAAAGUGUGGGUAUCAAACAGGAUUAGAUACCCGGGUAGUC
Molecule: ribosomal RNA, 460 nt
Filed under: uncultured bacterium
Lineage: Bacteria
Description: partial 16S ribosomal RNA
Rfam family: Bacterial small subunit ribosomal RNA
Source: RNAcentral